CCUCUCAAUGAUUUUGAGAGCGUAUCCUUUCUCCUUAAAGGACUCGGCUCCGAAUAUGAUCCUUUUGUGACGUCGGUCACAACCCGAGUCGACCCACUGUCCUUUGAUGAACUUUAUGGCCACCUCCUUGCUUAUGAGA
Molecule: small nucleolar RNA, 139 nt
Organism: Alnus glutinosa
Lineage: Eukaryota; Viridiplantae; Streptophyta; Magnoliopsida; Fagales; Betulaceae
Product: small nucleolar RNA Z247
Exons: 1
Source: RefSeq, a predicted model, not a curated record